Molecule: ribosomal RNA, 388 nt
Filed under: uncultured bacterium
Lineage: Bacteria
Description: bacterial SSU rRNA
Rfam family: Bacterial small subunit ribosomal RNA
Source: RNAcentral
AUUGAACGCUGGCGGCAUGCCUUACACAUGCAAGUCGAACGGCAGCGGACCUUCGAGUGCCGGCGAGUGGCGAACGGGUGAGUAAUAUAUCGGAACGUACCUUUCAGUGGGGGAUAACGUAGCGAAAGUUACGCUAAUACCGCAUAUUCUGUGAGCAGGAAAGCAGGUGAUCGCAAGACCUUGCGCUGAUUGAGCGGCCGAUAUCAGAUUAGCUAGUUGGUGAGGUAAAGGCUCACCAAGGCGACGAUCUGUAGCGGGUCUGAGAGGAUGAUCCGCCACACUGGAACUGAGACACGGUCCAGACUCCUACGGGAGGCAGCAGUGGGGAAUUUUGGACAAUGGGCGCAAGCCUGAUCCAGCCAUGCCGCGUGAGUGAAGAAGGCCUCGG